This 478-nucleotide ribosomal RNA is filed under the name uncultured bacterium. Its description in RNAcentral is "bacterial SSU rRNA". It matches the Rfam family "Bacterial small subunit ribosomal RNA", at positions 30 to 507 of the family's 1533-position model. The record is from RNAcentral.
AUUGAACGCUGGCGGCAUGCCUUACACAUGCAAGUCGAACGGUAACGCGGGGGCAACCUGGCGACGAGUGGCGAACGGGUGAGUAAUGCAUCGGAACGUGCCUGUAGUGGGGGAUAACUGUUCGAAAGAACAGCUAAUACCGCAUACGACCUGAGGUGAAGGGGGGGAUCGCAAGACCUCUCGCUAUUGGAGCGGCCGAUAUCAGAUUAGCUAGUUGGUGGGGUAAAGGCCUACCAAGGCAACGAUCUGUAGUUGGUCUGAGAGGACGACCAGCCACACUGGGACUGAGACACGGCCCAGACUCCUACGGGAGGCAGCAGUGGGAAUUUUGGACAAUGGGGGAAACCCUGAUCCAGCAAUGCCGCGUGAGUGAAGAAGGCCUUCGGGUUGUAAAGCUCUUUUGUCAGGGAAGAAACACCGGCUCUAACACAGUCCGGGAAUGACGGUACCUGAAGAAUAAGCACCGGCUAACUACGUG